UUUUCUGUUGUAUAUGUCUGAAACUCUUAUUAAGAACUGUUUGGUUGGAUAUAGUUAGACUUCGUUUGACAUUGCCGGGAGAUUGCGUUACGUGCGGUGAGAAAAUACGUUCGAAAAAUACCAUAUUUGUUUCCGUACGUAAUAUUGCGUUCCGCAUAUCGCGAUGAGUCGGUUACAAUAUAUUUUUUGCGGUCCCAUUGGAGAACGCAGAACCAUCCCUAUAUGCUUUUUUCACAACUCCAUUUUAUUUAAUAGCGUUAGAUAGGCCUCAAUACCAAACUAAUUAAG
RNAcentral lists this long non-coding RNA (288 nucleotides) under Ananas comosus (pineapple). RNAcentral describes it as "long non-coding RNA (ACOM_LNC040604)". Lineage: Eukaryota; Viridiplantae; Streptophyta; Magnoliopsida; Poales; Bromeliaceae. The record is from RNAcentral.